GACGAACGCUGGCGGCGUGCUUAACACAUGCAAGUCGAACGGUGAAGCGCCUUCCUUUUUGGUGGGUGUGGAUGAGUGGCGAACGGGUGAGUAACACGUGAGUAACCUGCCCCCUUCUUCUGGAUAACCGCAUGAAAGUGUGGCUAAUACGGGAUAUUCUGGGUCUGUCGCAUGAUGGGUCUGAGAAAGAUAUUGUUUCGGUGGGGGAUGGGCUCGCGGCCUAUCAGCUUGUUGGUGGGGUGAUGGCCUACCAAGGCGGUGACGGGUAGCCGGCCUGAGAGGGUGGACGGUCACACUGGGACUGAGACACGGCCCAGACUCCUACGGGAGGCAGCAGUGGGGAAUAUUGCACAAUGGGCGCAAGCCUGAUGCAGCGACGCCGCGUGAGGGAUGGAGGCCUUCGGGUUGUGAACCUCUUUCGCCAGUGAAGCAGGCCUGCCUCGUUUGUGGGUGGGUUGACGGUAGCUGGAUAAGAAGCGCCGGCUAACUACGUG
RNAcentral lists this ribosomal RNA (494 nucleotides) under uncultured bacterium. Its description in RNAcentral is "partial 16S ribosomal RNA". It matches the Rfam family "Bacterial small subunit ribosomal RNA", at positions 28 to 507 of the family's 1533-position model. The record is from RNAcentral.